GCCGCUGCCAAAAAAGGGGUGGCGCCCGGGUGAACCGGACCAUCUUGUACCCAUGUUGCUUCAAGGAGGAUGUGGCUAUGAGAA
Molecule: small RNA, 84 nt
Filed under: Nitratireductor indicus C115
Lineage: Bacteria; Pseudomonadati; Pseudomonadota; Alphaproteobacteria; Hyphomicrobiales; Phyllobacteriaceae
Description: Repression of heat shock gene expression (ROSE) element
Rfam family: Repression of heat shock gene expression (ROSE) element
About the family: This family represents a 5' UTR cis-regulatory element found in heat shock mRNAs and is known as the ROSE (repression of heat shock gene expression) element. The ROSE element is a negative regulator of heat shock gene expression.
Source: Rfam by way of RNAcentral